Molecule: ribosomal RNA, 459 nt
Filed under: Limnonectes kuhlii (Kuhl's wart frog)
Lineage: Eukaryota; Metazoa; Chordata; Amphibia; Anura; Dicroglossidae
Description: partial 16S ribosormal RNA
Rfam family: Bacterial large subunit ribosomal RNA
Source: RNAcentral
GCCCCUUAAAUAGGGACUCGUAUCAACGGCAUCACGAGGGUUAUACUGUCUCCCCCAUCUAAUCAGUGAAACUGACCUCCCCGUGAAGAGGCGAGGAUAAAACUACAAGACGAGAAGACCCCAUGGAGCUUUAAACCCAAUGACAACCCCACUUAAAUAUUCCCACAUAAAGAUAAAGCAAUGUACAUUGGUUUUAGGUUGGGGUGACCACGGAGCAAAACUAAACCUCCAUGACGAAUGGAAAUUCAUCCUAAUCCACGAGCUGCCACUCUAAGAAUCAAAAAUUUGACGUAAUCUGAUCCGGCAACCGAUCAACGAACCAAGUUACCCUGGGGAUAACAGCGCAAUCCAUUUCAAGAGCUCCUAUCGACAAAUGGGUUUACGACCUCGAUGUUGGAUCAGGGUAUCCCAGUGGUGCAGCCGCUACUAAAGGUUUGUUUGUUCAACAAUUAAAACCCU